GGGCUGGCUUUAGCUCAGCGGUUCCUUCGACAGUGUUCUAACAACCUCUUUGCAGAGGUGAGUAGUUCCACAUAGGCAGGUGUUCUCCAACCCUUUU
Molecule: unclassified non-coding RNA, 97 nt
Organism: Microcebus murinus (gray mouse lemur)
Lineage: Eukaryota; Metazoa; Chordata; Mammalia; Primates; Cheirogaleidae
Gene: Vault
Rfam family: Vault RNA
About the family: This family of RNAs are found as part of the enigmatic vault ribonucleoprotein complex. The complex consists of a major vault protein (MVP), two minor vault proteins (VPARP and TEP1), and several small untranslated RNA molecules.
Source: Ensembl